RNAcentral lists this ribosomal RNA (695 nucleotides) under uncultured Gilliamella sp. RNAcentral's name for it is "bacterial SSU rRNA". It matches the Rfam family "Bacterial small subunit ribosomal RNA", at positions 662 to 1357 of the family's 1533-position model. The record is from RNAcentral. Lineage: Bacteria; Pseudomonadati; Pseudomonadota; Gammaproteobacteria; Orbales; Orbaceae.
UAGAAUUCCACGUGUAGCGGUGAAAUGCGUAAAGAUGUGGAGGAAUACCGGUGGCGAAGGCGGCCCUCUGGACAGAUACUGACGCUGAGAUGCGAAAGCGUGGGGAGCAAACAGGAUUAGAUACCCUGGUAGUCCACGCUGUAAACGAUGUCGAUUUGGAGUUUGUUGCCUAGAGUGAUGGGCUCCGAAGCUAACGCGAUAAAUCGACCGCCUGGGGAGUACGGCCGCAAGGUUAAAACUCAAAUGAAUUGACGGGGGCCCGCACAAGCGGUGGAGCAUGUGGUUUAAUUCGAUGCAACGCGAAGAACCUUACCUGGUCUUGACAUCCACAGAAUCUUGCAGAGAUGUGAGAGUGCCUUCGGGAACUGUGAGACAGGUGCUGCAUGGCUGUCGUCAGCUCGUGUUGUGAAAUGUUGGGUUAAGUCCCGCAACGAGCGCAACCCUUAUCCUUUGUUGCCAUCGGUUAGGCCGGGAACUCAAAGGAGACUGCCGUUGAUAAAGCGGAGGAAGGUGGGGACGACGUCAAGUCAUCAUGGCCCUUACGACCAGGGCUACACACGUGCUACAAUGGCGUAUACAAAGGGAGGCGACCUCGCGAGAGCAAGCGGACCUCAUAAAGUACGUCUAAGUCCGGAUUGGAGUCUGCAACUCGACUCCAUGAAGUCGGAAUCGCUAGUAAUCGUGAAUCAGAAUGU